UACGAAGGGGGCUAGCGUUGUUCGGAAUUACUGGGCGUAAAGCGCACGUAGGCGGACAUUUAAGUCAGGGGUGAAAUCCCGGGGCUCAACCUCGGAACUGCCUUUGAUACUGGGUGUCUAGAGUAUGGAAGAGGUGAGUGGAAUUCCGAGUGUAGAGGUGAAAUUCGUAGAUAUUCGCAAGAACACCAGUGGCGAAGGCGGCUCACUGGCCCGGUACUGACGCUGAGGCACGAAAGCGUGGGGAGCAAACAGG
RNAcentral lists this ribosomal RNA (253 nucleotides) under uncultured bacterium. Its description in RNAcentral is "partial 16S ribosomal RNA". It matches the Rfam family "Bacterial small subunit ribosomal RNA", at positions 524 to 776 of the family's 1533-position model. The record is from RNAcentral.